GCAAGUCGAACGGUAACAUGGGAGCUUGCUCCUGAUGACGAGUGGCGGACGGGUGCGUAACGCGUGGGAAUCUACCUUGUAGUGGGGGAUAGCCCGGAGAAAUCCGGAUUAAUACCGCAUAAUCUCUACGGAGGAAAAGGGGCCUCUCCCUGGAAGCUCUUGCUAUUAGAUGAGCCCGCGUUAGAUUAGCUAGUUGGUGAGGUAAUGGCUCACCAAGGCGACGAUCUAUAGCUGGUUUGAGAGGAUGAUC
Molecule: ribosomal RNA, 250 nt
Filed under: uncultured bacterium
Lineage: Bacteria
Description: partial 16S ribosomal RNA
Rfam family: Bacterial small subunit ribosomal RNA
Source: RNAcentral